This 500-nucleotide ribosomal RNA is filed under the name uncultured bacterium. RNAcentral's name for it is "SSU rRNA". It matches the Rfam family "Bacterial small subunit ribosomal RNA", at positions 26 to 524 of the family's 1533-position model. The record is from RNAcentral.
AGAGCGAACGCUGGCGGCGUGCUUAACACAUGCAAGUCGAACGCGCAGCAUUCUGUAGCAAUACAGGGUGUGGGCGCGUGGCGAACGGGUGCGUAACACGUGGAUAACCUUCCUUCAGGUGGGGAAUAACCCAGUGAAAAUUGGGCUAAUACCGCAUAACAAAACGAUGAGACAUCUUGUUGUUUUCAAAGGCGCAAGUCGCCAGAAGAGGGAUCCGCGGCCGAUUAGCUUGUUGGCGAGGUAAUGGCUCACCAAGGCAAUGAUCGGUAGCCGGACUGAGAGGUUGGCCGGCCACACUGGAACUGAGACACGGUCCAGACUCCUACGGGAGGCAGCAGUGGGGAAUCUUGCACAAUGGGCGAAAGCCUGAUGCAGCAACGCCGCGUGGGGGAUGAAGCUUCUCGGAGUGUAAACCCCUUUCGACCCGGAAGAAAGCCCGCAAGGGUUGACGGUACGGGUAUAAGAAGCCCGGCUAACUACGUGCCAGCAGCCGCGGUAAU